RNAcentral lists this ribosomal RNA (293 nucleotides) under uncultured bacterium. RNAcentral describes it as "partial 16S ribosomal RNA". It matches the Rfam family "Bacterial small subunit ribosomal RNA", at positions 775 to 1067 of the family's 1533-position model. The record is from RNAcentral.
GGAUUAGAUACCCUGGUAGUCCACGCCGUAAACGAUGUCUACUAGUUGUUGGGGAACUUGAUUCCUUAGUAACGAAGCUAACGCGAUAAGUAGACCGCCUGGGGAGUACGGCCGCAAGGUUAAAACUCAAAUGAAUUGACGGGGGCCCGCACAAGCGGUGGAGCAUGUGGUUUAAUUCGAAGCAACGCGAAGAACCUUACCUGGUCUUGACAUCCUGCGAACUUGCUAGAGAUAGCUUGGUGCCUUCGGGAGCGCAGAGACAGGUGCUGCAUGGCUGUCGUCAGCUCGUGCCG